CCUACGGGAGGCAGCAGUGAGGAAUAUUGGUCAAUGGGCGUAAGCCUGAACCAGCCAAGUCGCGUGAGGGAUGAAGGUUCUAUGGACCGUAAACCUCUUUUAUAAGGGAGUAAAGUGUGGGACGUGUCCUGUUUUGUAUGUACCUCAUGAAUAAGGAUCGGCUAACUCCGUGCCAGCAGCCGCGGUAAUACGGAGGAUCCGAGCGUUAUCCGGAUUUAAUGGGUUUAAAGGGUGCGUAGGCGGCCUUUUAAGUCAGCGGGGAAAGUCUGUGGCUCAACCAUGGAAUUGCCGUUGAAACUGGGAGGCUUGAGGAUGUUUGAGGCAGGCGGAAUGCGUGGUGUAGCGGUGGAAUGCUUAGAUAUCACGCAGAACCCCGAUUGCGAAGGCAGCCUGCCAAGCCAUGACUGACGCUGAUGCACGAAAGCGUGGGGAUCAAACAGGAUUAGAUACCCCUGUAGUC
RNAcentral lists this ribosomal RNA (460 nucleotides) under uncultured bacterium. Its description in RNAcentral is "partial 16S ribosomal RNA". It matches the Rfam family "Bacterial small subunit ribosomal RNA", at positions 338 to 795 of the family's 1533-position model. The record is from RNAcentral.